UUUGAGUUCUGGCUCAGGAUGAACGCUGGCGGCGUGCUUAACACAUGCAAGUCGAACGAAGCACUUAAACAGAUUCUCGGAUUGACGUUUUAGUGACUUAGUGGCGGACGGGUGAGUAACGCGUGGGUAACCUACCCUGUACAGGGGGAUAACAGUUAGAAAUGACUGCUAAUACCGCAUAAGCGCACAGUAUCGCAUGAUACAGUGUGAAAAACUUUUGUGGUACAGGAUGGACCCGCGUCUGAUUAGCUAGUUGGUGAGGUAACGGCCCACCAAGGCAACGAUCAGUAGCCGACUUGAGAGAGUGAUCGGCCACAUUGGGACUGAGACACGGCCCAAACUCCUACGGGAGGCAGCAGUGGGGAAUAUUGCACAAUGGGGGAAACCCUGAUGCAGCGACGCCGCGUGAAGGAUGAAGUAUUUCGGUAUGUAAACUUCUAUCAGCAAGGAAGAAUAAUGACGGUACUUGACUAAGAAGCCCCGGCUAAAUACGUGCCAGCCGCCGC
Molecule: ribosomal RNA, 506 nt
Filed under: uncultured bacterium
Lineage: Bacteria
Description: bacterial SSU rRNA
Rfam family: Bacterial small subunit ribosomal RNA
Source: RNAcentral